Molecule: long non-coding RNA, 2400 nt
Filed under: Zea mays
Lineage: Eukaryota; Viridiplantae; Streptophyta; Magnoliopsida; Poales; Poaceae
Description: long non-coding RNA (ZMAY_LNC003672)
Source: RNAcentral
UGCAUCUCUCAACGUUCUCUCUUUUAUCUGGUGCACACGUGACACGUACACUCUCUAGAAAUCUCCCACGUCUCUCUCUCUCUCGGCGUGCUCCAAUUGAACUCUCACGCAUAGCGCAUAGCACUCGCCUUCGCCUUGUACCUUGUGCUCAACUCCCAGAUACUGAGCCCGGACGCGAGCUCCCUUCUCACGCUGGCUUGGGCGCUGCUGCUGCUCUUCCGUGCCUUGAGCUGCUUCCUCACACGCUCGACCGACCAUCUGUCGCUGCUCCAUCGCACACGUUCCAGCUCACCGGCCUGGUACCGUCUUCCAACUCCACGCUUUGCCGUCCGCCGACCUCGCUGGUGAGGUGAGGGCCGACGUCGUCCUGCAGCUUCCACGCCGUGCCGACACUCGUCGUGCAGCCUUGUUUGUUGUGCUUGCCGCAGUUCCCCAUCCAUGUUGUGAGCUGCAACAUACUCAUGGUUGUUAUCUCCUCGUCGGCCAUGCUCAACCUCGCAGCUCCUUCGCGUCGUCGAUUUCCUUGACCCACAGCCUCUCUUCCGACCUCGUCGUGCUCGCGGUGUCAUUGUAAAGCUGCUAGCUGCCAGUCUCGCUGGUACGUCGUCGAUUUUUAUAUGUUUGGAAUUGUCGGCCGUGUACUUAGUAUUUAUUAGUGUCGUCUUCUCAUGCAGUUCCUGAUACCCAGCAAGCCGUUGUGCUCGGCAUACUUUCUCUAUGUGGUUCUCUCGCUUCAUCGGCUUUCCGCGUGUUAGAGCAGGUAUGGUUCGGAUAUAUACGUAAAUGCGGGAGAAAGUUCGAGAAAAAUGGGCAUCUAAUGUGUUCGUGUAAAAUAAAGUUGCUUAGCAUGCUUUGGAUGGUUAGAUGAGUUCUAAGGAUAAGUAGCUCCCUGGUAGUUAUGGCUUGUGGUGAUAGCUUAUAAUUGUAAUUUCGUAAUGCUUCGUAAUGCCUUCCUUGUUAGUAGCUUAGACACAGGCAUUCAUAAUCAUGGCAUUUCAUGUAGAGUACCAAGAAGAAGUGAUUUGUCAAGAAAGGAGCAUGUUCUAGUUCUGCUGAUCCAGUGGUGGAUUCCAUCUAACUGCUUAUCGUAAUAGAAGAUCUCAGAUUUCCUCCUGUAAUAAGGCAAGCCCCGGUGCAUUUGCCCCUUCCUUGCGUUUUAAAUGCUUUAUCACCUGAUAUGAUGCAUUAGGUGAUAGGAGUUGUGUGAUAAACAAUUGAUGCAUUACCAUUCCUUGAAAAUUCCUAAAUCCCUGUUUUAUUAAAAAAAAUUAUUACUGCUUAGUCCUACUUAGAAACUCAAAAAUCAUUUGUUUUUUUAAAAGAACGAUGUGUAACAUUGGUUAUGGGCUUUUGAUUCAAAAGUGAAAGCAAACUUAUGAUGAUGAGUCCAUCAGGGCUCCGGAUGGGUUCAUCAUCCGAAACGAGUACCCCUGCCGGGUACCAAAAAUGGGGAAAUGGUUAAUAAAUCUAGACCAGGCGCUGAGCAGACAGAGUCGCCCGUCUGUGUUGAUUAAGGACCGUACCGUUGACUGGCCUGUUGUGGUUGAGACUUUGCAACUAGCCACAUACCCUGGUAUGGGACAGGGUAAGCUUGAACCUGGUUAUUCCAUACGUGAAGAGACAAUCGCGCACUGGGAGUGGAGAGAUGGCGGGAGUAGCAUGUACCCUCCUGGCAUAGUAGCACGCCUCGUAGGGUAAUGUGCUCUCGGGUGGCGCAGACCUGUUCAUGUAGUGGAGGACUCCAUGGGAACGGUUGACAUAUGCAAGAGUUAAGUGCUACAUAUGUCGUGUGGUUAGAGAUCCCCAGCUGGGUAUAAUCGGUUCGAAUCAUCGUUGCUCCUCGAUUAUGGAGACUCAUCCCGGUGACCAUCAUCGUAGUUAGCAAGUGAAAUAUGAGUAUGAAUAAAAUGCAGCUAGUAUAGGCCAAGUGCUUGAACUAGAUUAGGAAAAAUCUAGAUUCAGGUAAAUACCUAACUUGUGAAAUAAAACUUGGCUUAGGGAUCAAUUGGUAGUAAGCUUUUCUGCCAAAAAGGGUCUUUGAUAAAUGAUAAGCUUUACCUUGAGUCCCAAAAUCCAGCAUACCCUUGAGAGUCUUUUUUUUUAGUCGGGUAAGUCUUGCUGAGUAAUUCCAUACUCAGGGUUUUAUCCCCUGUUGUUUUUGCAGGAGAAGUUUUAUUCCCUUAUCUUAUGGUUAGUUACUUCAUGUGGAGGCCUUGAAGCUUAGAAUGUUUAUGUGUAUCUCUUAUGGAAAGGCUUCACCCUUCCAAUUAUUAUAAUCAGUUAUGCACUUUGGGUACUAUCAAGACUUGUAAUAAUUACAAUUCUUCUUAUGUUGUAAAACUUGAGCUUUGGAAAUGUAAAAUAUGUUUUUGUAAAGUCUUCCGCUCUAUCUCCGAAGUG